UAAAGUUGUUGCGGUUAAAACGCUCGUAGUUAAUUUAAGAAUUGAGAACAAGGGCUUGUUGAUAUUUUAUGAGAAUUAUUCAAACAUAAUUAUUUAGUUUGGAAGGUUUUCAUUGAAGUAUUAAUCUUGGUUCUAAACUUUAUUUUGAAUAAUUUUUUAAUUAUUUGAAUGAGUGGUGAAUAAGUGUUUGCUUUUUGAUUCGUCCCAUUAGAUAUAUAUAAUUUAAUUUAUUUUAUCUAAUUUUCAACUGUGAGAAAAACAAAAUGCUCAAUAUAGACCAUAUUGAUUUUUAAUUCUUUUAAAAAUCUUGUCCGAAUGUUAUAACAUGGUAUUGAGUAAAAGUGAUUUAUUUCUUUCGAGAGAUAACCUUCGUCAAUCAGGAACGAAAGUUAGGGGAUCGAAGAUGAUUAGAUACCAUUGUAGUCCUAACUGUAAACUAUUAUGACAAAAGAUUGGCAUGAGACCUUUUAUCCAGAUCCCCUCAGAAUUUACAGGAAACUAAAAGUUUUUGAUUUCCGGGGGAAGUAUGGUCGCAAGGCUGAAACUUAAAAGAAUUGACGGAAGAGCACCACCAGGAGUGGAGUUUGCGGCUUAAUUCGACUCAACACGGGAAAUCUCACCAGGUCCGGAUACUAUUAGGAUCGACAGAACAAAGUUCUUUCGUGAUUUGGUAAUUGGUGGUGCAUGGCCGUUCUUAGUUCGUGGAGUGAUUUGUCAGGUUUAUUCCGAUAACGAACGAGACCUUAAUCUAUUAAUUAGGCUGUUGGUAAAUGAGUUAAAUCAUUUAUUAAUUUCUACGGAAAUCAACACAAAUAUCAAUGGUAAAACAUUGAUUUGCUUCUUAGAGAGACAAUACAACGUUUUUUAUAAUUAGUGUAGGGAGGCUUGAGGCAAUAACAGGUCUGUAAUGCCCUUAGAUGUUCUGGGCAGCACGCGUAUUACAAUAUUAAUACCAACGAGCUUAUCGUGGUUAAAAAUAAUGCCUGCUCUAUUUUAAAACAAGAGUGGGAAAACUUUGCAAAUAUUAAUGUGACUGGGAUAGCUGUUUGGAACUACAUCUUGAACGAGGAAUUCCUAGUAAACGUAGGUCAUCAACCUACAUUGAUUUAGUCCCUGCUCUUUGUACACACCGCCCGUCGCUCCUACCAAUGGAACGAAAAGGUGAAUUUGAAGGACUUUCCAUUUAAUUUGGGAAGAAAUUUAGCUAAACCUUUUUGUUUGUAGGAAGGAGAAGUC
This 1236-nucleotide ribosomal RNA is filed under the name uncultured soil eukaryote. RNAcentral's name for it is "partial small subunit ribosomal RNA". It matches the Rfam family "Eukaryotic small subunit ribosomal RNA", at positions 605 to 1790 of the family's 1831-position model. The record is from RNAcentral.